Molecule: ribosomal RNA, 292 nt
Filed under: uncultured bacterium
Lineage: Bacteria
Description: partial 16S ribosomal RNA
Rfam family: Bacterial small subunit ribosomal RNA
Source: RNAcentral
GUGUCAGCCGCCGCGGUAAUACGUAGGGGGCGAGCGUUGCUCGGAAUUACUGGGCGUAAAGGGUGUGUAGGUGGCUGAUCAAGUCAAAGAUGAAAUCCCGAGGCUCAACUUCGGAAUUGUCUUUGAAACUGGUCGGCUUGAGGCUAGUUGAGGAGAGCGGAAUUCCCGGUGGAGCGGUGAAAUGCGUAGAUAUCGGGAGGAACACCUGAGGCGUAGGCGGUUCUCUAAACUUGUCCUGACACUGAGACACGAAAGCUAGGGGAGCAAACGGGAUUAGAAACCCCUGUAGUCC